CGGAGUAACGCGUGAGGAACCUGCCUCAAAGAGGGGGACAACAGUUGGAAACGACUGCUAAUACCGCAUAAGCCCACGGCUCGGCAUCGAGCAGAGGGAAAAGGAGCAAUCCGCUUUGAGAUGGCCUCGCGUCCGAUUAGCUAGUUGGUGAGGUAAUGGCCCACCAAGGCGACGAUCGGUAGCCGGACUGAGAGGUUGAACGGCCACAUUGGGACUGAGACACGGCCCAG
RNAcentral lists this ribosomal RNA (230 nucleotides) under uncultured bacterium. RNAcentral describes it as "partial 16S ribosomal RNA". It matches the Rfam family "Bacterial small subunit ribosomal RNA", at positions 106 to 334 of the family's 1533-position model. The record is from RNAcentral.